AGCAGCCGCGGUAAUUCCAGCUCCAAUAGCGUAUAUUAAAGUUGUUGCAGUUAAAAAGCUCGUAGUUGAAUUUCGGGGUUAGUAGGCUGGUCAUGCCACCGGUAUGUACUGGUCUUUCUGAUUCCUCCUUCCUGAUGAACUGUAAUGCCAUUAAUUUGGUGUUGCAGGGAAUCUGGACUGUUACUUUGAAAAAAUUAGAGUGUUUAAAGCAGGCUAACGCUUGAAUACAUUAGCAUGGAAUAAUGAAAUAGGACGUUCGAUCCUAUUUUGUUGGUUUCUAGGAUUGACGUAAUGAUUAAUAGGGAUAGUUGGGGGCAUUAGUAUUCAAUUGUCAGAGGUGAAAUUCUUGGAUUUAUUGA
RNAcentral lists this small RNA (359 nucleotides) under uncultured Rhizophagus. RNAcentral describes it as "SSU rRNA". It matches the Rfam family "Eukaryotic small subunit ribosomal RNA", at positions 569 to 932 of the family's 1831-position model. Lineage: Eukaryota; Fungi; Glomeromycota; Glomeromycetes; Glomerales; Glomeraceae. The record is from RNAcentral.